RNAcentral lists this transfer RNA (74 nucleotides) under Triparma columacea. RNAcentral's name for it is "tRNA-Pro". It matches the Rfam family "tRNA". From Rfam's summary of the family: Transfer RNA (tRNA) molecules are approximately 80 nucleotides in length. Their secondary structure includes four short double-helical elements and three loops (D, anti-codon, and T loops). The record is from RNAcentral. RNAcentral also lists the same sequence under 6 other names. Lineage: Eukaryota; Bolidophyceae; Parmales; Triparmaceae.
CGGGAUAUAGCGCAGCUUGGUAGCGCAUCUGCUUUGGGAGCAGAGGGUCGCAGGUUCAAAUCCUGCUAUCCCGA